This 276-nucleotide ribosomal RNA is filed under the name uncultured bacterium. RNAcentral's name for it is "partial 16S ribosomal RNA". It matches the Rfam family "Bacterial small subunit ribosomal RNA", at positions 29 to 295 of the family's 1533-position model. The record is from RNAcentral.
AAUGAACGCUGGCGGCGCGCCUAAUACAUGCAAGUCGAGCGAGAAGACGUAGCAAUACGUUUGUAAAGCGGCGAACGGGUGAGGAAUACAUGGGUAACCUACCCUCGAGUGGGGAAUAACUAGCCGAAAGGUUAGCUAAUACCGCGUACGCUUCUUGGACUUCGGUUCAGGGAGGGAAAGCGAUACCGUGGGUAUCGCGCUCUUGGAUGGGCUCAUGUCCUAUCAGCUUGUUGGGAGGUAACGGCUCACCAAGGCUUCGACGGGUAGCUGGUCUGA